GUGAAUCAUCGAAUUUUUGAACGCAAAUUGCACUCUCCGGUUUUCCGGGAGAGUAUGCCUGUUUGAGGGUCAGCCUAAAAAAAAUCGACAUUGUUGCUGUUAUUUAAUGGUGACUUUCGUCGGAGAUUGGGUUAUCUUAAACCUUUUUUUUUUUGGUUUUUGCGAGUUAUAAUUUUUUUUUACUCGAUUCUGUGUGU
RNAcentral lists this unclassified non-coding RNA (197 nucleotides) under Glomeraceae sp. RNAcentral describes it as "partial contains 5.8S ribosomal RNA and internal transcribed spacer 2". The stretch from base 1 to 72 matches the Rfam family "5.8S ribosomal RNA", at positions 84 to 154 of the family's 154-position model. The record is from RNAcentral. Lineage: Eukaryota; Fungi; Glomeromycota; Glomeromycetes; Glomerales; Glomeraceae.